RNAcentral lists this ribosomal RNA (253 nucleotides) under uncultured bacterium. Its description in RNAcentral is "partial 16S ribosomal RNA". It matches the Rfam family "Bacterial small subunit ribosomal RNA", at positions 524 to 776 of the family's 1533-position model. The record is from RNAcentral.
UACGUAGGGGGCAAGCGUUAUCCGGAUUCACUGGGUGUAAAGGGAGCGUAGACGGCCAUGCAAGCCUGGAGUGAAAGCCCGGGGCCCAACCCCGGGACUGCUCUGGGAACUGUGCGGCUGGAGUGCGGGAGGGGCAGGCGGAAUUCCUGGUGUAGCGGUGAAAUGCGUAGAUAUCAGGAGGAACACCGGCGGCGAAGGCGGCCUGCUGGACCGCGACUGACGUUGAGGCUCGAAAGCGUGGGGAGCGAACAGG